This 424-nucleotide ribosomal RNA is filed under the name uncultured bacterium. RNAcentral's name for it is "partial 16S ribosomal RNA". It matches the Rfam family "Bacterial small subunit ribosomal RNA", at positions 360 to 776 of the family's 1533-position model. The record is from RNAcentral.
AAUUUUGGACAAUGGGGGCAACCCUGAUCCAGCCAUCCCGCGUGUGCGAUGAAGGNCUNNGGGUUNUNAAGCACUUUUGGCAGNNNNNAAACGGCUCUGACUAAUAUCUGGAACAACUGACGGUACCUGCAGAAUAAGCACCGGCUAACUACGCGCCAGCAGCCGCGGUAAUACGUAGGGUGCAAGCGUUAAUCGGAAUUACUGGGCGUAAAGCGUGCGCAGGCGGUUCGGAAAGAAAGAUGUGAAAUCCCAGGGCUUAACCUUGGAACUGCAUUUUUAACUACCGGGCUAGAGUGUGUCAGAGGGAGGUGGAAUUCCGCGUGUAGCAGUGAAAUGCGUAGAUAUGCGGAGGAACACCGAUGGCGAAGGCAGCCUCCUGGGAUAACACUGACGCUCAUGCACGAAAGCGUGGGGAGCAAACAGG